UACAGAGGGUGCGAGCGUUGUCCGGAAUCACUGGGCGUAAAGGGCGCGUAGGUGGUUGGGGAAGCGUGUGGUGAAAGCCCGGGGCUCAACCCCGGGUCGGCCAUGCGAACUGCCCGGCUGGAGCAUGGUAGAGGCCAAUGGAAUUCCGGGUGUAGCGGUGGAAUGCGUAGAGAUCCGGAAGAACACCGGUGGCGAAGGCGGUUGGCUGGGCCAUAGCUGACACUGAGGCGCGACAGCGUGGGGAGCAAACAGG
RNAcentral lists this ribosomal RNA (253 nucleotides) under uncultured bacterium. RNAcentral's name for it is "partial 16S ribosomal RNA". It matches the Rfam family "Bacterial small subunit ribosomal RNA", at positions 524 to 776 of the family's 1533-position model. The record is from RNAcentral.